RNAcentral lists this ribosomal RNA (468 nucleotides) under uncultured bacterium. RNAcentral describes it as "partial 16S ribosomal RNA". It matches the Rfam family "Bacterial small subunit ribosomal RNA", at positions 28 to 507 of the family's 1533-position model. The record is from RNAcentral.
GACGAACGCUGGCGGCGUGCUUAACACAUGCAAGUCGAACGGAAAGGCCCUGCUUUUUUGGGGUGCUCGAGUGGCGAACGGGUGAGUAACACGUGAGUAACCUGCCCUUGACUUUGGUAUAACUUCAGGAAACUGGGGCUACUACCGUAUCGGAGCUCCUGCUGCAUGGUGGGGGUUGGAACGUUUCGGCGGUUGGGGAUGGACUCGCGGCUUAUCAGCUUGUUGGUGGGGUAGUGGCUUACCCAGGCUUUGACGGGUAGCCGGCCUGAGAGGGUGACCGGCGACAUUGGGACUGAGAUACGGCGCAGACGCCUACGGGAGGCAGCAGGGGGGAAUAUUGCACAAUGGGCGGAAGACUGAUGAAGAAACGCCGCGGGCGGGAUGACGGCCUUCGGGUUGUAAACAGCUGUAGCCUGUGACGAAGCGUGAGUGACGGUAAUGGGUAAAGAAGCACCGGCUAACUACGUG